GUGAGUAUAGUUCAAUGGUAGAGUGUGUGCUUAGCAUGUAUGAGGUCCUGGGUUCAACCCCCAGUACUUCCA
This 72-nucleotide transfer RNA is filed under the name Camelus bactrianus (Bactrian camel). It matches the Rfam family "tRNA". Rfam says of the family: Transfer RNA (tRNA) molecules are approximately 80 nucleotides in length. Their secondary structure includes four short double-helical elements and three loops (D, anti-codon, and T loops). Further hydrogen bonds mediate the characteristic L-shaped molecular structure. tRNAs have two regions of fundamental functional importance: the anti-codon, which is responsible for specific mRNA codon recognition, and the 3' end, to which the tRNAs corresponding amino acid is attached (by aminoacyl-tRNA synthetases). tRNAs cope with the degeneracy of the genetic code in two manners: having more than one tRNA (with a specific anti-codon) for a particular amino acid; and 'wobble' base-pairing, i.e. permitting non-standard base-pairing at the 3rd anti-codon position. Lineage: Eukaryota; Metazoa; Chordata; Mammalia; Artiodactyla; Camelidae. The record is from Rfam by way of RNAcentral. RNAcentral also lists the same sequence under 3 other names.